This 386-nucleotide RNase P RNA is filed under the name Rhodospirillales bacterium URHD0017. RNAcentral's name for it is "Bacterial RNase P class A". It matches the Rfam family "Bacterial RNase P class A". Rfam says of the family: Ribonuclease P (RNase P) is a ubiquitous endoribonuclease, found in archaea, bacteria and eukarya as well as chloroplasts and mitochondria. Its best characterised activity is the generation of mature 5'-ends of tRNAs by cleaving the 5'-leader elements of precursor-tRNAs. The record is from RNAcentral. Lineage: Bacteria; Pseudomonadati; Pseudomonadota; Alphaproteobacteria; Rhodospirillales.
UCAGACGGCCGGAUGGCUGCACUGGGCGGGCAACCGCCUGGUGAGGAAAGUCCGGGCUCCACGGAGACACGGUGCCGGCUAACGGCCGGCGGGGGCGACCCCAGGGAAAGUGCCACAGAGAACAGACCGCCUGCCCGGUUUACCGGGACGGCAAGGGUGAAACGGUGGGGUAAGAGCCCACCGCGCGACCGGCAACGGAAGCGGCACGGCAAACCCCACCGGGAGCAAGACCAAAUAGGGGCGGCACGCCGGGCAACCGGCAGCGGUGUUUCCGCGUCGCCGCCCGGGUCGGUCGCGCGAGGCGCUCGGUAACGGGCGUCCCAGAGGAAUGGCCAUCCAUCGCCGAAAGGCGAGGACAGAACCCGGCUUACAGGCCGUCUGACCUG